RNAcentral lists this long non-coding RNA (280 nucleotides) under Elaeis guineensis (African oil palm). RNAcentral's name for it is "long non-coding RNA (EGUI_LNC043871)". The record is from RNAcentral. Lineage: Eukaryota; Viridiplantae; Streptophyta; Magnoliopsida; Arecales; Arecaceae.
GUCUGAAGCUCUCUCAAUUGCUGAUCAUCGCAUUCCCGAUGUGCCAUGUUAAAGUACCUACCUGCACCAUUGCUUCUAGAUCAUCGCUUCUCUACGCAUCAUUGGUUGAACAUCAUCGGUUCCACAUCAUCCAUUAUUGCUUCCACAUUGAUGCCAUGUCAUUGCGACCUCCAACAUCCGCAUCCACCUCAUAUCCAUUUAGGUGCCACAUGCCGACUACCCAUUGCUCCAUAUGUCAUUCUACCAUUUUUCGUUCCAAGAAAAAGAUUUAGGUAGGUAC